RNAcentral lists this long non-coding RNA (2019 nucleotides) under Homo sapiens (human). RNAcentral describes it as "HSALNT0056391". Lineage: Eukaryota; Metazoa; Chordata; Mammalia; Primates; Hominidae. The record is from RNAcentral.
GCAGGGUCGGGCAAAAAGAACCAUAUGUUUCUUCUUGCAGACAGUCUAUAAACGGAUGUGCAAGUAGGAGAGAUAUCACUAAAUUCUUUUCCUAGCAAGGAAUAUUAAUACCCUGGGAAAGGAAUGCACUCCUGGGGGGAGGUCUAUAAAUGGCCGCUUUGGGAAUGUCUGUCUUAUGCGGUUGAGAUAAGGACUGAGAUAGGCCCUGGUCUCAUGCAGUACCCAAAGGCUUACUAGGGUGGAGAAAAACUCCGCCCUGGUAAAUCUGUGGUCAGACUGGUUCUCUUGUUUUCUGUUGUUUAAGAUGUUUAUCAAGACAAUACAUGCGCCAAUGAACAUAGACCCUUAUCAGUGGUUCUGCUUUUGACCUUUGCUUUGUGAUCAUUGCUGGACCCUUAUCAGUAGUUCUGCUUUUACCCUUUGCCCUGUUCCCUCAGAAGCAUGUGAUCUUUGUUAGACCCUUAGUAGUAAUUCUGCUCUUUGCCCUUUGAAGCAUGUGAUCUUUGUACCUACUUCCUGUUCUUACACCCCCUCCCCUUUUGAAACCCUUAAUUAAGAACUUGCUGGUCUGAGACUCAGGGGGCAUCAUGGCCCUACUGAUAGGUAAUGUCACCUCCAGUGGCCCAGCUGUGAAAUUCCUCUCUUUGUAGUGUCUCUCUUUAUUUCUCAGCUGGCUGACACUUAUGGAAAACAGAAAGAACCUAUGUUGAAAUAUUGGGGGCAGGUUCCACCAAUACUUCUUUCAUGGAUUUACUUAAUUUUUGUUUAUCUCCCUCUGUAUCCUAGAAACUCCUGGAGAGCAGAGCCAUGCCUGCCAUUUCCAUCAUUGCAUUACCACCACCCAGCACAGUGCCUGGCACAAAAGAGUUGCUCAAUAAAUAAAUCAGGAUGAAUGGAUAAAUACACGGACAGGCACUUUGAACUACAGAUGAGCUUAAAUACUUUGUGUUUUUCUUAGUCAAACAUGUGCAAUUAAGCAUGUGAUAAAUUAUAUGAUGACCACACCUGUGUCUUGCCUGAUGAUCUUUGCAAUCACUAAACAAAGUCAAUUUUGCCUGUUUUGACAGUUCUGUUUUCAACCUAAUCUGGUUCUUUUAACUUCUGGCUGUUGGCUUUGUUUGCGUUGUUAGCCUGACAAAGUGGCAGAUAUUGGUAUAAGCUCUUUUGUUUAAAUGCCACGAACUUUAAAAAUGCCUUUGCUUUUGGUAAGAAACCCUAGUUAGGACAGUCUAGUGGUCAGGAUGAUUUGGGUUCUGGUGCAGUAACAACAAUCCCCAAAUCUCAGUGGCUCCAUGCAGUGAGGUAUUUGUUUGCUUGUUUGUUUUUGAGACAGGGUCUCACCCUGUCACCCAGACUAGAGUGCAGUGGUGCAAUUUCAGCUCACUGCAACCUCUGCCUCCUAGACUCAAGUGAUUCUCUGCCUCCUGAGUAGCUGGGAUUACAGGCCCAUGCCACUACUGUCUGGCUAAUUUUUGUGCUUAGUAUUGACAGGAUUUCACCAUGUUAGCCAGGCUGGUCUUGAACUCCUGACCUCAAAUGAUCCACCUGCCUUGGCCUCCCAAAGUGCUGGGAUGACAGGCAUGAGCCACCAUGUCUGGCCACAGUGAGGCUUAUUCUUGGUCAUGUUACAUGUCUGGGCUGUGUUAGGGCAUUGUGGUGUGGUCUGUUCAUUGUGUUCACUCAGGGAUCCAGGUUGACAAAAGUCCCAUCUCUGCAUAUGUCCUUGAUCAUCACUUCAGGGGAAAGGGAAUGUGGUGGAUCACAGAGCCUCUUAGCACUUCCACCUGGAGGUGACUCAAGUUGCUCCUGCUCAUGGUUCAUUGGACAAAACAGAUCACAGAGUCAUGGGCAACUUCUCUGUGCCUGGAAGGGGAACCAAAAUAUGAAUAGCUACAUUGAUUUUCUCUAGCUAGUACACAGAAGGCCUCAUUUAAACACAGUUACUUAUUUGUGUUUUGAAGCUAAUUGUAGUCCAUCAACUUUCACAGAAGAUAUGUGCACUUCCAAGCUAUUUUUAAG